GGGUACCGGGGCAGACUAGUGGUGCGGUAAGGGGGAAGAUUUGAAAUUCCUGGUGUAGCGGUUGGAAUGCGCAGAUAUCAGGAGGGAACACCGGAUGGCGAAGGGCAGAUCUCUGGGCCGUAACUGACGGUUGAGGGAGCGAAAGGGUGGGGAGCAAACAGGCUUAGAUACCCUGGGUAGUCCACCCCGUAAAACGUUGGGAACUAGUUGUGGGGUCCAUUCCACGGAUUCCGUGACGCAGCUAACGCAUUAAGUUCCCCGCCUGGGGAGUACGGCCGCAAGGCUAAAACUCAAAGGAAUUGACGGGGACCCGCACAAGCGGCGGAGCAUGCGGAUUAAUUCGAUGCAACGCGAAGAACCUUACCAAGGCUUGACAUAUACGAGAACGGGCCAGAAAUGGUCAACUCUUUGGACACUCGUAAACAGGUGGUGCAUGGUUGUCGUCAGCUCGUGUCGUGAGAUGUUGGGUUAAGUCCCGCAACGAGCGCAACCCUCGUUCUAUGUUGCCAGCACGUAAUGGUGGGAACUCAUGGGAUACUGCCGGGGUCAACUCGGAGGAAGGUGGGGAUGACGUCAAAUCAUCAUGCCCCUUAUGUCUUGGGCUUCACGCAUGCUACAAUGGCCGGUACAAAGGGCUGCAAUACCGUGAGGUGGAGCGAAUCCCAAAAAGCCGGUCCCAGUUCGGAUUGAGGUCUGCAACUCGACCUCAUGAAGUCGGAGUCGCUAGUAAUCGCAGAUCAGCAACGAUGCGGUGAAUACGUUCCCGGGUCUUGUACACACCGCCCGUCAAGUCAUGAAAGUCGGUAACACCGAAGCC
RNAcentral lists this ribosomal RNA (817 nucleotides) under Microbacterium sp. HPCKc-15. RNAcentral describes it as "bacterial SSU rRNA". It matches the Rfam family "Bacterial small subunit ribosomal RNA", at positions 628 to 1428 of the family's 1533-position model. The record is from RNAcentral. Lineage: Bacteria; Bacillati; Actinomycetota; Actinomycetes; Micrococcales; Microbacteriaceae.